Molecule: ribosomal RNA, 482 nt
Filed under: uncultured bacterium
Lineage: Bacteria
Description: bacterial SSU rRNA
Rfam family: Bacterial small subunit ribosomal RNA
Source: RNAcentral
AUUGAACGCUGGCGGCAUCGCCUUACACAUGCAAGUCGAACGGCAGCGGACCUUCGGGUGCCGGCGAGUGGCGAACGGUGAGUAAUAUAUCGGAACGUACCUUUCAGGUGGGGGAUAACGUAGCGAAAGUUACGCUAAUACCGCAUAUUCUGUGAGCAGGAAAGCAGGGGAUCGCAAGACCUUGCGCUGAUUGAGCGGCCGAUAUCAGAUUAGCUAGUUGGUGAGGUAAAGGCUCACCAAGGCGACGAUCUGUAGCGGGUCUGAGAGGAUGAUCCGCCACACUGGAACUGAGACACGGCCCAGACUCCUACGGGAGGCAGCAGUGGGGAAUAUUGCGCAAUGGGGGAAACCCUGACGCAGCAACGCCGCGUGUGUGAAGAAGGCCUUCGGGUCGUAAAGCACUGUUGGGAGGAACGAGCCGCUCGUGGGGAAUAUCUGCGAGCCCGACGGUACCUCCUGAGGAAGCACCGGCUAACUCCGUG